GUGUGGGGACUUCAUUUUGAUUUUCAGUCUGAUCUGUUGGGGUCUAGGCAGGAGCUUGGUCCCAAACAACACACCCACGUGUGCUGAGGACAGGCUCCAGGGGAUUCUUACGCCCGCCUGCAUCAGAGAACCCAGGGCUUGUGGGCGAGGCAGCGUGGAGAGGGAGCGCAGCUCUGGAGACGGCCCCCAGGGCUUGCGGGCGGGCGGGCAGGCGGGCGGGCGAGGCAGCGUGGAGAGCGGAGAGCGAAGCUCUGGAGACGACCCCCAGAGGAGAUUGGCCAAGUGCGGAUGUACGAGUCCUCCCUGCCCGAGGCGCAAACUGUCUCACUCCAAAGGGCGUCCGGAGGGUUCUGCGGGGCGGCUGUGCACUGACACCUGCCCCCCACGUGGGAGUCCGCCGGCUCCUGGCCCUUGCCGGUUGGUGUUGCGGGUCUGAGAUGACGCCCCCGCGGUAGGAGCGGGGUUUCCCUGAUCACCGCUUCUUUUGACCAUCUUUUCUGGCAGGGCCUUGUAUUUUUAAAAUGUGUAAAGGUUAAGCUUUCUGAGAUCAGAAAAAGAAUAUUUAGUGAACCAUGUGAUUUAAGUCACUGUGUAUGUGACAUGAAAUAUUUAUACCUAACCCACUAGCAAAUGGCUCGUUAAACAUAUUUGAGAUUUAA
Molecule: small RNA, 659 nt
Filed under: Pan troglodytes (chimpanzee)
Lineage: Eukaryota; Metazoa; Chordata; Mammalia; Primates; Hominidae
Description: sense intronic
Source: RNAcentral